CCAGGGAGCUUGUUAGAAUGCUGAAUCUCAGGCCCCACCCUAGACUUAUUGAAUCAAAGCCUGCAUUUGGGCCUGGAAAUCACUUUCAAAGAAAGUAAGGUUGCUGAUUUCACCUCCUUUGGGUUCAGCUGAUGCCGAUGUUUGGCCUAGUCUAAGAGGAGUGACUUCUUGCUUUCUUUAUAUUGCUUUGCUCUCAGCCUGUGAAGAGGAUCCAUCCACAACUCGAGCUGCCUCCCUGUUGCUCCGCAUUUCUGGUUCCCCAGAAGAUGAACCCUACCUUAGAGAGAAGAGACAGAGAAGGAAGAAGCCCCACUGCCUACUGUUGGCCCACUGUGGACAGGCUGCUGCUGCUGCUGCUGCCAGGAGCUCUCGGGGGUGACCCUAGACAAGGAGAAUCUUCCCAGGGAAAUCCUGGGAGGGGCUAACUAAAGCCACGUAGAGUAGGCAGCAACUUCUCUCCAAGCCACAGUCCAAUGGCAGGCUCAAUUAUGCAGCCUCCUUCAAUGGAGCCAUCUCUCCCAGCCUCGCCUUCUGCCCCUCCUCCAGCUUGCCGGGCCUAUAUCAUCAGCUUCCAUGCUCCAAAAGAAGAAAACUACUUAUUGAGCAGAAGCAAAUGCUACUGAUAAUUUAAC
This 632-nucleotide long non-coding RNA is filed under the name Homo sapiens (human). RNAcentral's name for it is "HSALNT0101657". The record is from RNAcentral. Lineage: Eukaryota; Metazoa; Chordata; Mammalia; Primates; Hominidae.